UGGAAAGCUACCUAAGGCAAUGCCAUUAGAACCUAUCAUGUCACAUGUGUAAAGGUUAGGCACAAAGGUACGGAUGGCAACGCCGUGACGAAAGCCAUGGAACUAGAGGUUAAUAUCGAAAUCGAGAAAAAUACAGACAAAUAAAGGUCAAACAAAUGGAAAAAGAAGUAUCACUCGUUGGUUAUGGACCAACAUAUGCACAAAUAUCAUGUACGACUACAUACGCGCAGAGGCGGUCGCAUGUGUAAAGGUGGUAUG
Cucurbita maxima (winter squash) is the source of this 258-nucleotide long non-coding RNA. RefSeq lists it as uncharacterized. The record is from RefSeq and is a predicted model, not a curated record. The transcript has 3 exons. Lineage: Eukaryota; Viridiplantae; Streptophyta; Magnoliopsida; Cucurbitales; Cucurbitaceae.